This 1043-nucleotide ribosomal RNA is filed under the name uncultured Neocallimastigales. RNAcentral describes it as "partial large subunit ribosomal RNA". It matches the Rfam family "Eukaryotic large subunit ribosomal RNA", at positions 22 to 644 of the family's 3401-position model. Lineage: Eukaryota; Fungi; Neocallimastigomycota; Neocallimastigomycetes; Neocallimastigales. The record is from RNAcentral.
CUAUACAUGACUCUGCGCAUAUCAAUAAGCGGAGGAAAAGAAACUAACUAGGAUUCCCUCAGUAACGGCGAGUGAAGCGGGAAGAGCUCAAAUUUGAAAUCUUCAAGGUUCUACCUUGACGAAUUGUAGUUUAAAGAAGUGUUUUCUGUUGGAGUUUUGGUAAAAGUUCUUUGGAAUAGGACAUCAUAGAGGGUGAGAAUCCCGUAUUUGACCAUUAUUUCCAACUUUGUGAUACACUUUCAAAGAGUCGGAUUGUUUGGGAAUGCAGUCCAAAAUGGGUGGUAAAUUUCAUCUAAAGCUAAAUAUUGGCGAGAGACCGAUAGCGAACAAGUACCGUGAGGGAAAGAUGAAAAGAACUUUGAAAAGAGAGUUAAACAGUACGUGAAAUUGUCAAAAGGGAAGCGUUUGACACCAGUGUUGUUUUCUCGAAAAUCAAUUAAAAAAGGCCGGAUUUUGUGUUGUAUUGACCUUAAAAGCUUUCUUCACUCUUUUCCUGCUUUUUUUAAUGCACUUUUCGUUUAACAAGUCAACAUCAGUUUCUUUUGUUGUAAAAGGGUCAUUGGAAGGUGGCUUUCUUUUCGGAGAAAGUGUUUAUAGCCUUUGAUCUCUGCAAUCGGAGAGACUGAGGUCUGCAGCGUAGAUCCUUCGGGGUUAGAUACAUUUGUGCUAAGUUAUAACUUUUCAUAGACAACUUGUUGACUAUGUUUAGUCAUGUAGCUUACUCGCUUAUGCUAUUUUACCUACGCUUAGGAUGUUGAAGAUAUGCGCGACACGACUCUAUACAUGACUCUGCGCAUAUCAAUAAGCGGAGGAAAAGCGCUAAAGAUCCAGAUACCUACGCUUAGGAUGUUGAAGAUAUGCGCGACACGACUCUAUACAUGACUCUGCGCAUAUCAAUAAGCGGAGGAAGAGUACUACCUACGCUUAGGAUGUUGACACACGCGCGUGCUCGACUCUAUACAUGACUCUGCGCAUAUCAAUAAGCGGAGGAAAAGCAUAACAUGUAUACCUACGCUUAGGAUGUUGAAGAUAUGCGCGACACG